RNAcentral lists this transfer RNA (67 nucleotides) under Turdus philomelos (song thrush). RNAcentral describes it as "tRNA-Cys". The record is from RNAcentral. Lineage: Eukaryota; Metazoa; Chordata; Aves; Passeriformes; Turdidae.
GGCUCUGUAGUGAAGUUCAUAGUGAGUUGCAAGCUCAUUGAUGUGUAUCAGUAGUACACCGGAGUCU